This 266-nucleotide unclassified non-coding RNA is filed under the name Hevea brasiliensis (rubber tree). Lineage: Eukaryota; Viridiplantae; Streptophyta; Magnoliopsida; Malpighiales; Euphorbiaceae. The record is from RNAcentral.
GUGAAGGCCUCCCCAGGCUGGAAGCCAAAUAAGACUGAUGGGCAUACCCGGGAGUCUGCGCAUGCAAACACCAUGAACUUUGGGCUCUGGCCCUCCGCGAGCUCCCGGAACACCUCAGGCUUCUGCUCGUAUAUCUCUUUCUUGAACACAUCGAAUCCCGACCUCAUCCGAUCCACGGCCGCCUCCAUUCUUCGAUUGAUCAGAAUCACAAUCAGGAAAAGUGCAAUUCAAACAGAGAACGGAAAAGUGCAAUUCAAACAGAGAAC